RNAcentral lists this microRNA precursor (104 nucleotides) under Marmota monax (woodchuck). The record is from RNAcentral. Lineage: Eukaryota; Metazoa; Chordata; Mammalia; Rodentia; Sciuridae.
AGUGGAACAACUGGGUCAUAUGGUGGCUCCAUUCUAGGUUUUUCUGAGGAAUCUCUAUACUGCUUUCCAGAGUGGUUGCACCAAUUUGCAGUCCCACCAGCAAU